RNAcentral lists this ribosomal RNA (468 nucleotides) under uncultured bacterium. RNAcentral's name for it is "partial 16S ribosomal RNA". It matches the Rfam family "Bacterial small subunit ribosomal RNA", at positions 28 to 507 of the family's 1533-position model. The record is from RNAcentral.
GACGAACGCUGGCGGCGUGCUUAACACAUGCAAGUCGAACGGAAAGGCCCUGCGUUUGUGCGGUGCUCGAGUGGCGAACGGGUGAGUAACACGUGAGUAACCUGCCCUUGACUUUGGGAUAACUUCACGAAACUGGGGCUACUACCGGAUAGGAUCUGCUGCUGCAUGGUGGGCGUUGGAAAGUUUCGGCGGGUGGGGUUGGACGCGCGGCUUAUGAGCUUGUUGGUUGGGUAGUGGUUUACCAAGGCAUUGACGGGUAGGCGGCCUGAGAGGGUGGACGGGCACAAUGGGACUGCGAGAGGGCGCAGACGGGUACAGGAGGCAGCGGUGGGGAGUAUUAUACAGUGGGAGGAAGCCUGAGGAAGAAACGCCGGGUGCGGGAUGACGGCCUUUGGGUUGUGAACAGCAUCCGCCUAAGACGAAGCGUUUGUGACGGUAAUGGGUAAAGAAGCACCGGCUAACUACGUG